Molecule: unclassified non-coding RNA, 718 nt
Filed under: Hevea brasiliensis (rubber tree)
Lineage: Eukaryota; Viridiplantae; Streptophyta; Magnoliopsida; Malpighiales; Euphorbiaceae
Source: RNAcentral
GAACAAUCAUAUUCUGGAAACAAUGUUUCACACUGGCAUCAUAAUAAAACGCAACGCUAAUUGCCAUCGUUCUACAGCACAUAGCUACAAAAGAUAACUAUCACUACUUCUCUAAAACCAAUAAACACUACAAUGAAUAGUAAUAAGGAUAGACAAUUGAAUAACAAGACUUGAUCCAAGAUUGCAGUGUGUUCUUUUCCACUUCUUGUUUCAAUAAAUGGUAAAAUCUUUGCAGGCAAUGGCAAGUGGUUUCGACAAAUUUGGCAGGAAUUAUAGCAACCUACUCAAGAAGCUUAUUGCAAGUGCUCACCCCAACAGCAGCAGCAAGAUGCCAACCAGCAUGCAAGAAAGGUGUUUCAGGAAAGACAUCAUCAGCUAUGAAAAGAGCACCCCCUAGCAACGAUGACAUUUUGUGCACAUUGUGACUCAUCCUUAGAUCCGGAUCUUGAAGUGCUCUUUUGGCAAAUGCAACCUCCAUCAUUCCAGUGUGCACAGCAGAAACCAUCAGAGGUUGGAUCGGUAGGAGGACUGCAGACGCUGCCAUCAGCAAUUUGGGAUUCUCAUUUCUAAGUGCCCUUGAUAGACACACUGUUGCUGUUGCUAUCAUUGAGUAGUCAGCCCAUCUCAUAUAGCGCCUUAUUUUGCCUCUCGAAGCAUGGUACAAACUGGAGAUAAUUCCAACUCCAAUCAAUGAAUUGGCAUAAAGUUUGCAAUGAAG